RNAcentral lists this long non-coding RNA (1339 nucleotides) under Heterocephalus glaber (naked mole-rat). Its description in RNAcentral is "lncRNA (ENSHGLG00000025260.2)". Lineage: Eukaryota; Metazoa; Chordata; Mammalia; Rodentia; Bathyergidae. The record is from RNAcentral.
GUAAGAAACCAGAGCCCUCAGGGCUCCUCCCAGCUGCAGCAGCCGGUGAGUCCAUUCCAACAGUUUUCCCAUGCAGCCAGCCUUCUCGUGAGCAACUGCCAUCGCAGCCCUCUGUCCUAGCUCACAUGGUGGAUGCUGUGUUCAGGGGAUAAUGAGGGAUCAUCAUGGCUGCCUUUUUUUAGUUCUCAAGCUCAACUGAAAACCGCCACCGUAGUGCUGUUAAGGUAGCAGCCUGGGUGUUCUGGGGCCUGCUGAGUGGCGGGGACAGGCCACAGUCACACUGGCCUGUUGUGGUGCUGUGUUGUUGUAACCAAGGCCGGGAGGCUUAGCGCCUCGCGUCUUCUAUCAGCUGGAGACUAUUCGUGUCUCUCAGUUCUCAGAGGACUGUGCCUGAAGCAGCAUUAUGUUCCCCAAAGACACAUGACAGGUGGCUCCAUUCAGUGCCCAGGACAGACACAAGACCGGCUCCGUCCCUGCUCAGACAGCUGUAGGGGACAGCGAGUCCCUUCCUUCCUUGGCUGGAGGAGACUUCACCCAGGCCCUGCCUCUCGUGCAUCUCAGGGUCCCAGCUCUGAGGACAGUGACAAUGAGGAACACCAGUCGCUGCUUUUUGUCAAGAUUGAAAAAGCUUCCUUGUGCUGGCAGCCAAUGCAGAGAUUCACCAGGAGUGAGACAGAAAGAGAGAUACAGAGGCCCAGGACCUCCAGCCAUCCCCACAGCCCAGAUCCACCCUGGGCUUUCCAAGCGCUUGAGCCAAUAAAUCUCCUCUGCUCUUUAUUCCUCCUAAACUAAGUUUCUUUCACCGACAGCCAAGCAUUUACUAACAUGCUCAAGAAAUACCUGUUGGGGCCAGUCACAGCUUCCCAAACCCUGGCAUGUCUUCAAGAUCCCAGGUCUAAAAGGCCCUGGUUCUAAAUCAACGAUCGGGACCCCACAAGUUCCUGAUAGGUUUAAUACACUCUCACAGAUCUCCAAAUGCCUUUGGGCUCACUUGGCUUACCUCAGCCCAAAGGAUACACAAUGUCUGUAAGUUCAUUUUUCUGCAUGGAAAAUGCCUUGUACAACCAGAGCACCUGGCCAAUUACUCCAAAAUGACUGCAGACCUCCAUAAGGAAGGCUCCUGGAGGACAUCCAUGAGGAAACCAGUGGCAACAGGAGGAUGAGCGCCUGAGGGUGAAGAAAGAGCUUGCCUUCUUCAAGCCCAGCCGGAAGAGAACGAAGGUGACUUUAUUCUGAGAAAAAGCCCCUUAGCCAACAUUUGUGUCUCUUCCAAAAUUCAUGAUGGAGCUGAACCCGCAGUGCAGAAGUGUCAAGAGGCGGGGCCUUCAGGAGACCAUUG